GGGCACAUGGUGUAGUUGGUUUAUCACAUCCGCUUAGCAUGCGGGGGGUGCCCGGUUCAAUUCCGGGUGUGUCCA
Molecule: non-coding RNA, 75 nt
Organism: Russula dissimulans
Lineage: Eukaryota; Fungi; Basidiomycota; Agaricomycetes; Russulales; Russulaceae
Source: the annotation of a GenBank genome assembly